UACGUAGGGUGCAAGCGUUGUCCGGAAUUAUUGGGCGUAAAGAGCUUGUAGGCGGUUUGUCGCGUCUGCUGUGAAAUUUCGGGGCUCAACCCCGAACUUGCAGUGGGUACGGGCAGACUAGAGUGUGGUAGGGGAGACUGGAAUUCCUGGUGUAGCGGUGAAAUGCGCAGAUAUCAGGAGGAACACCUGUGGUGUAGACAGCUUUCUGGACCACAAGCUGACGCUGAGACACGAAAGCGUGGGUAGCAAACAGG
Molecule: ribosomal RNA, 254 nt
Filed under: uncultured bacterium
Lineage: Bacteria
Description: partial 16S ribosomal RNA
Rfam family: Bacterial small subunit ribosomal RNA
Source: RNAcentral